Molecule: long non-coding RNA, 808 nt
Organism: Xiphophorus maculatus (southern platyfish)
Lineage: Eukaryota; Metazoa; Chordata; Actinopteri; Cyprinodontiformes; Poeciliidae
Exons: 6
Source: RefSeq, a predicted model, not a curated record
GCGGGGGCUCGUCCACGUCCUCCACGCUCACGUGAACGAUGGUGACGUCCUUGAAGGGGCCGCGGUGCCGGAAGGUCGGGUCCAGAGGCGCUGCAUCAUCUACUGGUUUCCAGUUUUCAAAAUUGGCGGUGAAACUUGAGGAUUAGGAAGUGGAGUCAACAAACCAGUUGACGUUAUGGACCGUGUUCAUCUUCUUUACAAAGUCUGUCUGACCGGUCGGCAGCGGCGGCUUACCUGGGCGCUGCACUCUGGACCGCCGCCUAAUCAUCUGGCCUCAAGUCAGGCAGGACAGCUGGGCCCUCAAAGGACCCAGCGCAUCUGCACCGCUGCAGGAAGACGAAGAGGAGGAUGAAGGAGCAGGAACUAAUCGCUCUCCUCGUCUGAUGGGAUGUGCAUAACGAUCCGGCAUCCUGCACUGGCGAGGAGCGGCGGCGAUGUUCUGCAGGAUUAGAAACGUUGAUGUCUGAUCGGUAGUGAUGACGGCGAUGACAACCUGGCGCACGGCGGCGACGCGGGAGAGCAGAUGAUUCUCACAGAUGGUGGAGAAACUUAAAGCUGGCCAUGACUCAUCCCAGUCACCACCUCAACUUUGGCAUGAAUCCCGAUCACGCCCGCAACUCGCUGUCCAACUGUGGCAUCCGCCAACCGAAAUACGGCGACAGGAAGGUCCACCACAUGUACAUGAGGAAAAAAGUAAAACCAGGAGGCUGAAUGUGGAGGCGUUCCCAGUCCAGCCAGGAGACCUCCAGCGUGUCCUGGGCCUCCUCCCAGUGGGACGUGCCCAGAACACCUCACUAAGAACUGAAAU